RNAcentral lists this unclassified non-coding RNA (231 nucleotides) under Hevea brasiliensis (rubber tree). Lineage: Eukaryota; Viridiplantae; Streptophyta; Magnoliopsida; Malpighiales; Euphorbiaceae. The record is from RNAcentral.
GGAUGAUGCCGCAUGACCAUAUAUCCACCUUAGCUCCGUUGUAUCCUUUCUUCUCGAGGAUUUCAGGAGCUACAUAUGCCGGAGUGCCGCAUAACGUAUGGAGGAAUCCAUCGGGUCGGAUCUGAUCCGUCACUGCACUGAGCCCAAAAUCGGUGACCUUGAGAUCCCAAUUCUCAUCGAGCAACAGAUUCUCCAGUUUCAGAUCUCGAUGAUACACACCACGAGAAUGAC